UGGGGAAUUUUGCGCAAUGGGCGAAAGCCUGACGCAGCGACGCCGCGUGGAGGAUGAAGGUUUUCGGAUUGUAAACUCCUUUUGUAGGGGAAGAUAAUGACGGUACCCUAUGAAUAAGCCACGGCUAACUCUGUGCCAGCAGCCGCGGUAAGACAGAGGUGGCAAGCGUUGUUCGGAAUUACUGGGCUUAAAGGGCGCGUAGGUGGUGGCAUAAGUCCGAGGUGGAAGGCUAAGGCUUAACCUUAGAAUUGCCUUGGAAACUGUAUCACUUGAGUCAGCGAGGGGAUGGCGGAAUUCCAGGUGUAGCGGUGAAAUGCGUAGAUAUCUGGAGGAAGGCCGGUGGCGAAGGCGGCCAUCUGGCGCUGAACUGACACUGAGGCGCGAAAGCGUGGGGAGCAAACAGG
RNAcentral lists this ribosomal RNA (404 nucleotides) under uncultured bacterium. RNAcentral's name for it is "bacterial SSU rRNA". It matches the Rfam family "Bacterial small subunit ribosomal RNA", at positions 355 to 776 of the family's 1533-position model. The record is from RNAcentral.